GACGAAGGAUGCAAGCGUUAUCCGGAUUCAUUGGGCUUAAAGGGCGCGUAGGUGGCCUUAUAAGUCAGUGGUGAAAUCUCUGGGCUUAACCCAGAAAUUGCCAUUGAUACUGUAGGGCUUGAGUAUAGAUGCCGUUGGCGGAAUAUGACAUGUAGUGGUGAAAUACAUAGAGAUGUCAUAGAACACCGAUUGCGAAGGCAGCUAACGAAACUAUAACUGACACUGAGGCUCGAAAGUGUGGGGAUCAAACAGG
This 253-nucleotide ribosomal RNA is filed under the name uncultured bacterium. RNAcentral describes it as "partial 16S ribosomal RNA". It matches the Rfam family "Bacterial small subunit ribosomal RNA", at positions 524 to 776 of the family's 1533-position model. The record is from RNAcentral.